Molecule: ribosomal RNA, 525 nt
Filed under: Notochthamalus scabrosus
Lineage: Eukaryota; Metazoa; Arthropoda; Thecostraca; Balanomorpha; Chthamalidae
Description: partial 16S ribosomal RNA
Rfam family: Bacterial large subunit ribosomal RNA
Source: RNAcentral
UUCCUUCUAGAAAAGAAGGUAAGGCCUGCUCACUGAAUAAUUAAAGAGCCGCAGUAUUUUGACUGUGCUAAGGUAGCAUAAUCAUUAGUCUUUUAAUUGGGGACUGGUAUGAAUGGCUAAACGAGAAAUCAGCUUUUUUUAUUAUAUAAAUUUAAUUUAUUUUUUUAGUGAAAAAACUAAAAUUUUUCAAAAAGACGAGAAGACCCUAUAGAGUUUUAUGUGGUAAUAAAUUAAAUUAUACUAGAUUUCUACUAAUAGAAUUUUGAUUCACAAUUUGUUGGGGCGACAUUAAGAAAUGACAAACUCUUUUUUUUAAAUACUUUCAUAAAAGUAAUAUUUGAUCCUUUAAAAAAGAUCAUAAGAAAAAAUUACCUUAGGGAUAACAGCGUAAUCUUUUUUGAGAGUUCUAAUCGACAAAAAGGUUUGCGACCUCGAUGUUGGACUAAAAUUUAGGCAUGGUGCAGUAGCUUUGCUUUAGGGUCUGUUCGACCCGUAAUAUUUUACGUGAUCUGAGGUUUCAGACCG